Molecule: ribosomal RNA, 456 nt
Filed under: uncultured bacterium
Lineage: Bacteria
Description: bacterial SSU rRNA
Rfam family: Bacterial small subunit ribosomal RNA
Source: RNAcentral
ACUCCUACGGGAGGCAGCAGUGGGGAAUAUUGCACAAUGGGCGCAAGCCUGAUGCAGCCAUGCCGCGUGUAUGAAGAAGGCCUUCGGGUUGUAAAGUACUUUCAGCAGUGAGGAAGGCGGAGUCGUUAAUAGCGGCCUCGUUUGACGUUAGCUGCAGAAGAAGCACCGGCUAACUCCGUGCCAGCAGCCGCGGUAAUACGGAGGGUGCGAGCGUUAAUCGGAAUUACUGGGCGUAAAGCGCAUGCAGGUGGUUUGUUAAGUCAGAUGUGAAAGCCCGGGGCUCAACCUCGGAAUUGCAUUUGAAACUGGCAGACUAGAGUACUGUAGAGGGGGGUAGAAUUUCAGGUGUAGCGGUGAAAUGCGUAGAGAUCUGAAGGAAUACCAGUGGCAAGGCGGCCCCCUGGACAAAGACUGACGCUCAGAUGCGAAAGCGUGGGGAGCAAACAGGAUUAGAUA